GUACACUCCUACGGGAGGCAGCAGUGGGGAAUAUUGCACAAUGGGCGCAAGCCUGAUGCAGCCAUGCCGCGUGUAUGAAGAAGGCCUUCGGGUUGUAAAGUACUUUCAGCGGGGAGGAAGGCGAUAAGGUUAAUAACCUUGUUGAUUGACGUUACCCGCAGAAGAAGCACCGGCUAACUCCGUGCCAGCAGCCGCGGUAAUACGGAGGGUGCAAGCGUUAAUCGGAAUUACUGGGCGUAAAGCGCACGCAGGCGGUCUGUCAAGUCGGAUGUGAAAUCCCCGGGCGCAACCUGGGAACUGCAUUCGAAACUGGCAGGCUAGAGUCUUGUAGAGGGGGGUAGAAUUCCAGGUGUAGCGGUGAAAUGCGUAGAGAUCUGGAGGAAUACCGGUGGCGAAGGCGGCCCCCUGGACAAAGACUGACGCUCAGGUGCGAAAGCGUGGGGAGCAAACAGGAUUAGAAACCCGAGUAGUCCCAUGAU
RNAcentral lists this ribosomal RNA (479 nucleotides) under uncultured organism. RNAcentral's name for it is "partial 16S ribosomal RNA". It matches the Rfam family "Bacterial small subunit ribosomal RNA", at positions 331 to 801 of the family's 1533-position model. The record is from RNAcentral.